UACCAGCACCCCGAGUGGUCGGGACGAUUAUUGGGCGUAAAGAGCUCGUAGGCGGUCUGUCGCGUCGAUCGUGAAAACUUGGGGCUUAACCCUGAGCUUGCGGUCGAUACGGGCAUGACUGGAGUUCGGCAGGGGAGACUGGAAUUCCUGGUGUAGCGGUGAAAUGCGCAGAUAUCAGGAGGAACACCGGUGGCGAAGGCGGGUCUCUGGGCCGAUACUGACGCUGAGGAGCGAAAGCGUGGGGAGCGAACAGG
Molecule: ribosomal RNA, 254 nt
Filed under: uncultured bacterium
Lineage: Bacteria
Description: partial 16S ribosomal RNA
Rfam family: Bacterial small subunit ribosomal RNA (bases 27-254)
Source: RNAcentral